Molecule: transfer RNA, 81 nt
Filed under: Metschnikowia matae
Lineage: Eukaryota; Fungi; Ascomycota; Pichiomycetes; Serinales; Metschnikowiaceae
Also listed under: 1 other name
Description: tRNA-Ser
Source: RNAcentral
CGGAUAGCCAGCGAUUCGAACGCUGAUAGCUUAAAAGCAACUACGUAGCAAGUAGAUUAGUUUACCAAUACCGAGCUAUCC